AGGGCACCACCAGGAGUGGAGCCUGCGGCUUAAUUUGACUCAACACGGGGAAACUUACCCGGCCUGGACACUGGAAGGAUUGACAGAUUGAGAGCUCUUUCUUGAUUCAGCGGGUGGUGGUGCAUGGCCGUUCUUAGUUGGUGGAGCGAUUUGUCUGGUUAAUUCCGAUAACGAACGAGACUCUAGCCUAUUAAAUAGGCUCUCGGCUUUUAAACGCCGGGAGGACUUCUUAGAGGGACAGGUGGCGGUUCAGCCGCACGAAAGAGAGCAAUAACAGGUCUGUGAUGCCCUUUGUUGUCCGGGGCCGCACGCGCGCUACACUGAAGAGAUCAGCGUGCUUUACGUUCCUGCUCCGACCGGAGUGGGGAACCCAGUGAACCUUCUUCGUGAUUGGGAUAGAAGAUUGUAAUUAUUCUUCUUGAACGAGGAAUUCCCAGUAAAUGCGAGUCAUAAGCUCGCGUUGAUUACGUCCCUGCCCUUUGUACACACCGCCCGUCGCUACUACCGAUUGAACGAUUU
Molecule: ribosomal RNA, 519 nt
Filed under: uncultured eukaryote
Lineage: Eukaryota
Description: SSU rRNA
Rfam family: Eukaryotic small subunit ribosomal RNA
Source: RNAcentral